RNAcentral lists this transfer RNA (76 nucleotides) under Hankyongella ginsenosidimutans. Its description in RNAcentral is "tRNA-Thr". It matches the Rfam family "tRNA". Rfam says of the family: Transfer RNA (tRNA) molecules are approximately 80 nucleotides in length. Their secondary structure includes four short double-helical elements and three loops (D, anti-codon, and T loops). RNAcentral also lists the same sequence under 1 other name. Lineage: Bacteria; Pseudomonadati; Pseudomonadota; Alphaproteobacteria; Sphingomonadales; Sphingomonadaceae. The record is from RNAcentral.
GCCGGAUUAGCUCAGCUGGUAGAGCAACCGCCUUGUAAGCGGUAGGUCGUUGGUUCAAGUCCGACAUCCGGCACCA